CAAAAUCCCACAUCUGAGGCUUCCAAGGGCCCUACUGAUAACAUUAUGACAUGUCUCUUACCUUUCCCUCCAGGGUCUUAUCUACAUCAAAGUACACAGUUUGGCAGUUACAGCGGUUAUUGUGGGAAAGGACAGGUGUAUUGUGGAAGCUUUUGCCUUUCUUGACGUGUACGCCAGGGUUGCAGGUGGAACUACUGUGUUGGUGGUCAGGAUAAAUUGUACCCUUACUUUGGUUGUUCGGUUCUCGGUGUCUAACAGCAUACUAGUGAUAGCCUUGGGCCUUGAGAAACUCGCUAUUUCACUACAUUCUUCAGCACUAGGGAUUGUCCGGGUUAACCUUCUGCUGAAUCACUGCAGGGAUAUUCUGAAUGUAUUGCUUAUGCCUCACCUCAAUGAACGCUGUGCCCAUGGAUUCCCACUCAUGCGAUAUCCAGAAACUCUAACCAUCGGUCAUGCAACUUACUAUUACAGGGAUUGCUUUGUAUUGUGUUACUAAAUGGGAGGACCUUUUCUGCAGAAGAAGCAUUGGACCGAAGGGAAGGCGAGGCUGGCAAGAGAAAGAAGAA
Molecule: long non-coding RNA, 566 nt
Organism: Anolis sagrei ordinatus
Lineage: Eukaryota; Metazoa; Chordata; Lepidosauria; Squamata; Anolidae
Source: RefSeq, a predicted model, not a curated record